RNAcentral lists this ribosomal RNA (383 nucleotides) under uncultured bacterium. Its description in RNAcentral is "bacterial SSU rRNA". It matches the Rfam family "Bacterial small subunit ribosomal RNA", at positions 30 to 412 of the family's 1533-position model. The record is from RNAcentral.
AUUGAACGCUGGCGGCAUGCCUUACACAUGCAAGUCGAACGGCAGCACGGGAGCAAUCCUGGUGGCGAGUGGCGAACGGGUGAGUAAUAUAUCGGAACGUGCCCAGUCGUGGGGGAUAACGUAGCGAAAGCUACGCUAAUACCGCAUACGAUCUAUGGAUGAAAGCGGGGGAUCGCAAGUACCUCGCGCGAUUGGAGCGGCCGAUAUCAGAUUAGGUAGUUGGUGAGGUAAAGGCUCACCAAGCCGACGAUCUGUAGCUGGUCUGAGAGGACGACCAGCCACACUGGGACUGAGACACGGCCCAGACUCCUACGGGAGGCAGCAGUGGGGAAUUUUGGACAAUGGGCGCAAGCCUGAUCCAGCAAUGCCGCGUGCAGGAUGAA